RNAcentral lists this transfer RNA (71 nucleotides) under Dysgonomonas sp. GY617. RNAcentral's name for it is "tRNA-Leu". It matches the Rfam family "tRNA". From Rfam's summary of the family: Transfer RNA (tRNA) molecules are approximately 80 nucleotides in length. Lineage: Bacteria; Pseudomonadati; Bacteroidota; Bacteroidia; Bacteroidales; Dysgonomonadaceae. The record is from RNAcentral.
GGGUGUGUAGCUCAGUUGGUAGAGCAAUAGUGCAAAGCUAUUUGUCGGCGGUUCGAAUCCGCCCACACUCA